This 240-nucleotide ribosomal RNA is filed under the name uncultured bacterium. Its description in RNAcentral is "partial 16S ribosomal RNA". It matches the Rfam family "Bacterial small subunit ribosomal RNA", at positions 537 to 776 of the family's 1533-position model. The record is from RNAcentral.
AGCGUUGUUCGGAAUUACUGGGCGUAAAGCGCACGUAGGCGGAUUUGUAAGUCAGGGGUGAAAUCCCGGGGCUCAACCUCGGAACUGCCUUUGAUACUGCAAAUCUCGAGUCCGGAAGAGGUGAGUGGAAUUCCUAGUGUAGAGGUGAAAUUCGUAGAUAUUAGGAAGAACACCAGUGGCGAAGGCGGCUCACUGGUCCGGUACUGACGCUGAGGUGCGAAAGCGUGGGGAGCAAACAGG